RNAcentral lists this long non-coding RNA (916 nucleotides) under Nicotiana benthamiana. RNAcentral's name for it is "long non-coding RNA (NBEN_LNC007243)". Lineage: Eukaryota; Viridiplantae; Streptophyta; Magnoliopsida; Solanales; Solanaceae. The record is from RNAcentral.
UAGGUUUCUCUUACCUGUGACCUAAGCGUAUGUCAAGCCCUUUUGCUAGUGUAUUGAUGACAGGACGAUAUCCUCGGACCAUAAGACCAUGUCCACCGGGAAGCAAUUCUUCCUGUACAUCACAAAAGUGAAUAUGUAAGACAUAUUUGAAAUAAUGUUUGCAACCCACCGGGAAGCAAUUCUUCCUGUACAUCAUAAAAGUAAAUAUGCAAGACAUAAUAGAAAUAAUGUUUGCAAGGACUGGAAACUGCAUACAGUAGUUUGACCUUACUCUUUAAUAUCUACUGAUACAAGCAUAAAAAUACAAUUACAUCCAUAACACAAAUAGGAGCAUGUUUAUGUUCCAGAACCUCAGACAUCUUACAAUACAGUUACUUUGACACACGAACAGGUUACAAGAUCUAAGCUUUGCUUAGAAUCUUAGAAUUAGGAGGAUUCAUUCUAAUACAUGGGAUUUCAACUUUUAACCCGUUAAUUACAAAACUAAAUCCCCAAGUACUUGCAUGGAGGAACGCUUCAGUUAUAUUUCAUAACAAAUGGUCGAACUUCUCACAACAAUAGAAUACAAACUAGAACCUGGAGAUAAAAGAAAAGUUAUUGGUCCUACAAUAAGAUAAGUCUCGCCCGCUAUUUGUAUGAUUUCAUUAUGUAUCAGUCUCCUCCUCGCAGACACAGGUGGAUGUAGUGGAUCUAGCAAAGGAAACAGUUGGAAGUAAAAUUUAGAAUGGCUAUAUCCUGCUCGCCUAAAAUCAAAAUCCAAUUUCUAUCCUAUAGCAUCAUCAGUCCAUCUCCAAUGUUAGUCUAUUUCUUGCACCAAAGCAACAGUAUUUCUUGCACUAUUAUAGAGCAUGAAUAGUGUUGCACCAAAUUUGGUGCAACACUAUUAAUCACUCUAUAUUUGAUUUAUUAAUAUUUU